This 2812-nucleotide ribosomal RNA is filed under the name bioreactor sludge metagenome. RNAcentral's name for it is "bacterial LSU rRNA". It matches the Rfam family "Bacterial large subunit ribosomal RNA". The record is from RNAcentral.
AUAAGCUACUAAGGGCUAACGGUGGAUGCCUUGGCAUCGGAAGGCGAUGAAGGACGUGGUAAGCUGCGAUAAGCUUCGGGGAGUCGUUAACAGGCUUUGAUCCGGAGAUUUCCGAAUGGGGAAACCCGGCAGGACGUAACUCCUGUCAUUUGCUGCUCAAUACAUAGGCAGUAAAGGCGAACGCGGGGAACUGAAACAUCUUAGUACCCGCAGGAAUAGAAAUCAAUUGAGAUUCCGUAAGUAGUGGCGAGCGAACGCGGAACAGCCUAAACCAUGCCGGCUUGCCGGUAUGGGGUUGUAGGAGCCCGACAUGGGACCAAUGAUAUAUAGCGGAACAGUAUGGAAAGGCUGACCAUAGACGGUGAUAGUCCGGUACGCGAAAUAUAUCUUGACCCUAGGGAUUUCCUGAGUACCACGGGACACGUGAAACCCUGUGGGAAUCUGGGAGGACCAUCUUCCAAGGCUAAAUACUAUCCGAUGACCGAUAGCGAACGAGUACCGUGAGGGAAAGGUGAAAAGAACCCCGGGAGGGGAGUGAAAUAGAAACUGAAACCGUUAGCUUACAAGCAGUCGAAGCACUAUGCGCAAGCAGUGUGACGGCGUGCCUUUUGCAUAAUGAGUCAACGACUUACCCUAUGCAGCGAGGUUAAGCCGCGAGGUGGAGCCAUAGCGAAAGCGAGUCUUAAUUGGGCGAUUGAGUUGCAUGGGGUAGACCCGAAGCCGGGUGAUCUAUCCAUGGCCAGGGUGAAGUCUCGGUAACACGAGAUGGAGGCCCGAACCGAUAUAGGUUGAAAACUGUUCGGAUGAGCUGUGGAUAGGAGUGAAAGGCUAAUCAAACUCGGUGAUAGCUGGUUUUCUCCGAAAUAUAUUUAGGUAUAGCCUCAUAUGUUGACUGACGGAGGUAGAGCACUGACAAGGCUAGGGGUCCUACCGGAUUACCAACCCUUAUCAAACUCCGAAUACCGUCAAGUUCUAAUAUGGGAGUCAGACUAUGGGAGAUAAGUUCCGUGGUCAAAAGGGAAAGAGCCCAGACCGUCAGCUAAGGUCCCAAAAUCUCUGCUAAGUGGAAAAGGAUGUGGAAUUGCCUAUACAACCAGGAGGUUGGCUUAGAAGCAGCAACCCUUUAAAGAAAGCGUAAUAGCUCACUGGUCCAGUGAUACCGCGCCGAAAAUUUAACGGGGCUAAGCAGAGUACCGAAGCUACGGAUUCAGACUUUGUCUGGAUGGUAGGAGAAUAUUGUGGUCGCCUGAGAAGGUACACCGGAAGGAGUGCUGGAGGUCCCACAAGAGCUUAUGUUGACACGAGUAGCGAAAAACAAGGUGAGAAACCUUGUCGCCGAAAGCCUCAGGUUUCCUGUAGUCAAGUUAAUCUGCUCAGGGUUAGUCGGCUCCUAAGGCGAGGCCGAGAGGCGUAGUCGAUGGGAAACAGGUUAAUAUUCCUGUACCACUUUCAUAGCGUUUGAUGAUAAGGGGGGACGGAGAAGGUAAGGCCAUCCGGGCGGUGGUUGUCCCGGUUUAAGCGUGUAGACGGAAGACUUAGGCAAAUCCGGGUCUUCAUACGUUGAGGCGUGAUGACGAUGUCUUUUAGACAAUAAAGUGGCUGGGUCCAUGCUUCCAGGAAAAUCCUCGUAUCUAGUUAUGAAUGUGACCGUACCGUAAACCGACACAGGUAGGCUGGUAGAAGAUACCAAGGCGCUUGAGAGAACUCUGGUUAAGGAACUCGGCAAAAUAGCACCGUAACUUCGGGAGAAGGUGUGCCCACAUGGUGAUCUUUUCUUCAAUUGAAAGCCUACGUGGGUUGCAGUGAAAUGGGGGGAGCGACUGUUUACUAAAAACAUAGGACUCUGCGAAGUCGUAAGACGAUGUAUAGGGUCUGACGCCUGCCCGGUGCCGGAAGGUUAAGGGGACUUGUCAGCGCAAGCAAAGCAAUGAACCGAAGCCCCGGUAAACGGCGGCCGUAACUAUAACGGUCCUAAGGUAGCGAAAUUCCUUGUCGGGUAAGUUCCGACCUGCACGAAUGGCGUAACGAUUUCCCCACUGUCUCAACCAGAGGCUCAGCGAAACUGUAGCACCGGUGAAGAUGCCGGUUACCCGCAACUAGACAGAAAGACCCCGUGAACCUUUACUAUAGCUUGGCAUUGUUUUUUGAGGCAACAUGUGUAGGAUAGGUGGGAGACUUUGAAGUGGGCACGCCAGUGCUCAUGGAGUCACCGUUGAAAUACCACCCUUGUUGCUUUAGAAAUCUAACCGCGACCCGUCAUCCGGGUCCGGGACAUUGUCUGGUGGGUAGUUUGACUGGGGCGGUCGCCUCCCAAAUUGUAACGGAGGCGCGCGAUGGUUCCCUCAGCCCGAUUGGAAACCGGGCGUAGAGUGUAAAGGCAUAAGGGAGCUUGACUGCGAGAGAGACAUCUCGAGCAGGUACGAAAGUAGGUCUUAGUGAUCCGGCGAUUCCGCAUGGAAGGGUCGUCGCUCAACGGAUAAAAGGUACUCCGGGGAUAACAGGCUUAUCUCCCCCAAGAGUCCAUAUCGACGGGGAGGUUUGGCACCUCGAUGUCGGCUCAUCACAUCCUGGGGCUGUAGCAGGUCCCAAGGGUUUGGCUGUUCGCCAAUUAAAGUGGUACGUGAGCUGGGUUUAAAACGUCGUGAGACAGUUUGGUCCUUAUCUGUUGCGGGCGCAGGAUAUUUGAGGAGAUCUUUCCCUAGUACGAGAGGACCGGGAUGGACGAACCAAUGGUGUACCAGUUGUUCUGCCAAGGGCAUCGCUGGGUAGCUAUGUUCGGCAGGGAUAACCGCUGAAAGCAUCUAAGCGGGAA